Molecule: non-coding RNA, 33 nt
Organism: Flavobacterium sp. ov086
Lineage: Bacteria; Pseudomonadati; Bacteroidota; Flavobacteriia; Flavobacteriales; Flavobacteriaceae
Source: Rfam
AAUGGGCAAGCCGAAAACCAGAAAGAGUAGGCA